CUCACUUCAGGUUCAGUAUCAAUUUGGCGUCCCAGAUGGGACAAUGUCCCAGGUGGACGUCUUGCCUGUGGCACACUGGCCUCUGGCUACAGGCCUCUCUUAGAAGCUGUCCUACAGCUGCCUGAGCCCCUUGUCUCAGGGACAGCCCCAAGUGACUGGCUGCUGACCAGACGUCAUUGGCCCACAGCGCUUUUGCUUUGGUGGUGGAAGAAACUAGGUUUAUGACUUAGGAAGACGUCUCUUACUUGCAAACUGAAGCUGGAGGACUCAGUCUAAACCUAAGAGAGAUUCACGUCCACUGCUGUGUAAGCCUCUCAAGAAGUGACCUGAGUGACCGAUGGCACCAUCAGAAACCUUUCAAACUGCAAAAGAUGCUUCAACCCUGACUUUAGGAAUCUUGAUUUGCUGCCCCCUGGGCUUAGAAACUGGUUUAUAAUUUGCUCCAACCAUUAACCUUGUUUUUCUCUUUUUGUUUCUCUAAAAAAUACUUCUUAUUAAACACCUGGUUACUUACAUGAUACAGGCCUAACUUUGGGAGCCCACCAGCAUCACUGCCUUAUUAAAAGACUGGUUCAGUGAGAUGAAACAACCUAUGCCCCAUUUCAGCAGGAAGUAGAUGGAUCAGUUGCCACCCCAAAUCCCUCAAGAUGGACAUAAAAUAGGGGGAAUUGAUACUGACCCUCAUAUCAGUUUCCCUACAUUAAACCCAGCAUAUAUGGGGUUAAAACCAAAACACUCAUUCCCUGCUUACUCCCUGCCUUCCUGCCUCCCGAAUCUGAUAUCCUCCAUGGAGACAGACACCACCAAGGACAAGCACUUGGGUUCACUAUGUCCUCCCCGCAAAGAGAUACAGGCUGGUGGGAAAGCUGCUGACCAGCAAGGUCACAGGCUCCCUCCUCUCUGCAAGUAGUCUCAAGGCCAAAGACAGGCUGGUGGGAAAGCUCUGUCCAGCAAGGCCAUAUGCUCCCCUCCCCAACCUAAAACCUCAAAUAAAAACCCUUCCUUUUAGCUUUUUGGGGAAUUUGGGAUUUCAGUGUUAGCUGCCCUCUCUCCUUGCUCAGUGCUGUGCAAUAAUAAAAUUCCUACUUUCUUCCACCACUACAUCCUGUGUUGGAGAUUGGCUUGCUGCACAAAAGGUGAGUGAACUCACUUCAGGUUCGGUAUCAGUAUCUGUGGGCUUCCUAACACUGCACCCCAGAAUCAGAGACUCACCCUCCCAGGUGUCAGCAGUGAUAGACCAGGGCAGGCCUAUUUCAGAAGGGCCAGGCUGACGCUGCAACUUACCACAUGGUAGAGCGCAAAGGAAAGCACCUGUUCUCUGCAGGCUGACUGCUCCCAACAGGGACAGAGGAGGAGCUGUGCCACACAUAUCUGGUGCUUUCUCCCAAAGCCUAUAAUUAGGUAAGUCACUCUUUCCUCCCACAGGAGCCGGGAGUAAGUAAGUAUGGAGAGGCCAGUAGGAUUAUAUAGUCAUGCCCUCCACAUGCCUCCACCCAACCUCACCAAGGUCUAUGCCAUUUUUAUGUUAUUUUUCUGGGUUUCACAAGGACCAAUUAAAAAAAGACAUUGGCACAGUUGGCUUAUAACACAUAUCCAUUAAAGUCCCAUGUUUAUAAUCUCCCAAUACCAAUAUGAAGAUCAAAUAACUUCAGAGGUUUGUUUUUUUUUUUAAAUAUAAAAUUAAGUACAAUAAAUCCAGCAAGUUGCAACUAUAGAAAGUUAGCCAUUUUAUCAGACACCAUUUCUGGCUGGUUUAAACCAAAAAGGGAUUUAUUGAAAUGAUAUUGGGCAUCUUGGAGAAUUUCAGGGAAGGCUGAAAAAUUAGGAUUGGAAAAUGGGCAAAAAUAAAGGGAGGCUAACCAUAAUCAUGCCAGUCAGGAAGGGCUUGUUGCCCCUGUUGAACACAUGGAGGGCAGUGGCUUGAAUCACUGAUUCUGAACACCCUUUUGGCUUUUGCCCCUGGGAAAUGGAAGUUCAGUCACAGCAGCCACUGUCAGAAAGGACUGUCCACUUGUCUUGCUUCUUUGCAACAUUAGCUUCAGAUUUAAAGUCCCAGGUGGAGGCAGCUGACAGGUUGAAUGCAGGUCAUUUACGUUCUCUAACAGGUGAUCUGGGAAAGUGAUUAUCUGCUGUUCUCAUCUUCUGACUGUGGGAGAAAGACAUCAAGAAACAUUCAUGCAGAAGUCCCUAAAUAUAGGAAAGAGGUUCAUGUGCUAAGAAGUGAAGAAGAAAAACAUGACAAAUGUGCACUCCAACUAUUUUUGACAUGAGUGCAAAUAACCAAAUGUUUGCAUGGAUUAAAAUAGGUCAUGCCUGGGGGGCAGCCUGGUGGCAUAGUGGUUAAGUUCACGGAUCCACUUUGGAGGCCCAGAGUUUGUGGGCCCUGAUCCCAGGCACAGACCUAGCACUGCUCUUCAGCCCACACUGUGGUGGCAUCCCACAUAAAAUAGAGAAAGAUUGGCACGGAUGUUAGCUCAGGGCCAAUCUUCCUCACACACACACAACAAAAGGUCAUGCCUAAACCUACAAUUUUGUAUUCUGUACCCUUAUUACAACAAGAGAGAUGAGACACAAAGUUCUCCUUUUAAAUAAUUAAAGUCUACAAAACAAAAAGUUAGUGCAGCAAAAAAUGUUUAUCUUCAUUCCAAUUAGGAGAAUCAAGUAAGAAAUACCUAAACCAAGAAAGAUGAAAGUUCUCAUGUUCAUGAAAUCACAUAUUUACAUGACUUUUUAAAGUGUAAGUAUUCAGUAUGUGGGUACAGUGAUUUAGCAUCCUUUUCUCAGUUCAGAAACUGAGUUUCAAGCCAAUAUUCAAAAACAGCAACCAAACUUUCAUUUUUUUUCUUCUGGUCUUUUUCUCAAGCAUUCUGCUUCAGUAACAGUGUUGAUAAAUGUUCUGGGCAUAAUGCCCCUUAAUUAUUCUUUAUCUUAACAUUUGCUCCAAUCUGGGACUCUCAUUUUUGAGAGUAAGGUUAUAACGGAACAUAAACAAUUAGUAUUUUAAAACAAUUUUUGCAUAGUAGCAUUUCGUUCGCUAGGCUGGAAGCCAUGAGAGUUAGCUCCCUCUUCUUUUCCCACAUAAAGAAGGCAUUAAUGCUGCACGGGGCAUACCUUCACACACCAAAGAUAUUUUCAAAAAAGUGUCUUUUUUUAACUUGUUUGUGAACUGACAUUUCAUAUUAUUGACUACAUAUUUUAUUUGCGCUUUUCCAGGCAGCCAUAUUUGAAACUGGCAUUCUGAUUAUAACACGCGUCAUAAACUUGGUUGAUGUGAGUUUACUUCUGAGCCUUUUACUAAAAGCGGGCUUCGGAGCCCACCAGGCCAAGUGCCAAACCCUUGAGCAUGUUUAGUUCCUCAAAGAAAUGAGUACUGUCCUGUGUGGCCUCUCUGUAGAAGCUACCCACCAUCCGUCUCUUUCCAAUGUCUGACACCCACUCCAUCCCUAGACAAAACUGUGCUUCUUUUGGGUACAUAGAAUAGUGGAGAGAGCAUGAGUUUUGGCACAGAAAACAUGGAUUUGAAUCUCAACUUUGCCAUUUAUUGUGGGCAAAUUACUUAAACUCUCUGCAGCUCAAUUCUUCACUUAUAAAUUGAGAAUAAUAUCUACUUGUAGGUUGGUGGGUAGGAUAACAUACCUAGGAUGCCUAUUACAAUGCCUAGAAAACAGUAGACAUUCAAUAAAUGGUAACUAGUAUUAAAACAUUUUCAAGUAAUUAGCAGGAAACUCCUAGAAUCACAGACCAUGGAACUCACUUCUUUUGCCCAGGCGGGAACAGAGGAAAAACCCAGCAUGUGAGAAAAUUUCUAUGCUACUGACCAUAACUUCCACAUUUUCCCUCAUUCUCAUGGUCUAUUGUUACUUUUAAGAUAAGUGUCUCUUUUGUGGUUACAGUUAUGGUCCCCAUACUGCUACUCUUCUUUUUGCCUUAAAUAAAUUACCAUCAUCCCCACCCCUCUAUCUCCAAGUCUGGCUAACUCCUGUUAGUUCUUUAAAACUCGGCUCAGUCAUGCCUGCCUUUCAUCUGUUCUUCAAACAGGUGAAGUUAUUUCUGUCUCAGAACCUUUGUACUUGCUCUUCCUCUUUUUGCAACACCCAGAGCCCAUAUAGUUGGCUCCUUCUCAUUGAUUUCUCAGCUCAACUGUCACUAGAAAUGAAUGUUUUCCUAACCACCUCAUGUAUCGCCAUCCUCCUCCUAGCCAAUCAUAUUCUAACUGUUAAAAAACAAAAUCCAGCUGAGUAAAUUUGGAGAUCUAAUUGGCUUUAUUCAACAAGUCAUGAACUGGGUAGCAUCCCUUCUAGCAAAUAGGAAGGAACUCCAAGGAGCUGUACCAAAUGGAAGGCUUUUAUAGGCAGAAGGGGGUGGGAAAAAGGAAGUUUCUAGCAGAGUAGAUUAUUUUAGGCAAGGUCACCUUCCUUUGGGGUCUUUUGUGAUUUAUAACAAACCCCUUUCAACCACACCUGAGUUUAUGUUAACAAAGUGACUUUUGGAAAGCACUUAAGGAUAGAGGCUGGUUGCCAGGGGAACCAACCAUGUAAUUAGAAGGUUGGAACUUUAAGUCUCACCCGCCCCCUCCCCCUGCCAUGCCCCUAACCUCCAGGGAGGGAAGAGGGGCUGGAGAUUGAAUCCAAUUACCCAAUGGCCAGUGAUUCAAUCAACCAUGCCUAAGAAACGAAGGGUUUGGAGAACUUCCGGGUUGGUGAAGAAGAAGGUACCCAUAUGCUGGGAGGGUGGCAUACCCGAAACUCCACAAGAACUGAUGCUCCUGUACUUGAGACCCUUCUGGACCUUGCCCUAUGUAUCUCUUCAUCUGUUUGUUGGUUUAUAUCCUUUGCUAUCCUUUGUAAUAAGCCAGAAAUCUAGUAGGUAAACUGUUUCCCGGAGUUCUGUGAGCUGCUAUAGCAAAUUAAUUGAAGCUGAGGAGGGAGGGGGUCAUGGGAAUCUCCAAUUUACAGCUGGUGGGUCUGAAACAUCGGUAACAAACUAGACUUGUGAUGGUGUCUAAAGUGGGUUAGAUGGGGGGCAGUCUUGUCGGACUGGGCCCUUAACCUGUGGGAUCUGACACUAUUUCCAGGUAGAUGGUGUCAGAAUUAAAUUGUAGAACCCCCAGCCAGUGUUGAAGAAUUGCUUGCUGUGUAGAAAACUCACAUCUGGUGUCAGAAGUGGAGUAGUGUUGCAGUACAGUAUUGAGAGUAGAGGGGACACACAGGAAUGCGUUUUUUCCUUAGACUACCACACUAGACAGUAAGCUCUAUGAGGACAGUAACUUUGCCUGUCUUGUUCCUGACUGGCAACCUUGUAGGAUGGGAAUCUUGAGCAAGAAGGGAGCUCUUCUGAGAAAAAUGCCAACACUGAGGAAAUCAUUCCUGAAAGAUGGAGAGCACAAUAAUAGUAAAAGACAUCAACUGUCGUCUUGGAUCCAAUUAUCCUCGAAACAAAACAAACCUCCUGGAUUUUUCAUUAUGUGAACCAAUUGAUUAAGCUAGUUUGUGUUGGUUUCUGUUCUUUACAACCAACUGUAUUGACUAACACACCAAUAAAUGGAAUCUACAAAGCAAAUCAACCAGCAACCAAUUAGGGCUUAGAGAGAGUAUAUUGUCAUAAAACCCCAAGCCUGGCAGGAAGAGUCUUGUAAUUGUUAAACCUCCAUGCAGCCCCCAGGUACCCAUACCCACCCAUAGGAAGGAAGCUACUCAAGUGGACCAGCUCACAGCUGGGGAUUCCUCCACAUGGCAGACAUAGUUUCUGCCUCUCCUUCAGCCCUUUGCUUCAUCUUCCUUGUGAAGAGAAUCCAGAAUUUCUUUUAUGGAAGGCUCAAGCUAAUUAUGAUCAUUGUAUUUCCCCACAAUAAUUGACUUAGGAAUGGGCAUGUGGUGCAAUUCUGCCCAAUGACAUAUGAGAGGAAGUCCCUGGGGAGCUUCAGAAAAGUUGUCUUUGCUCUUCCAAAGUGAUUUAGAGAAGGAUGCCCUUUUGCCCUCUUCCAACCUUUGGAUAUUAUGUGAGGACAUGAUGCUUAGACCUGUUACAACCAUUUUGUGAGGUGAGGAAAUAAGCCUGAAGACAAAAGCUAAACAAAGCCAUGGGGGUGGUGGGGUAAAACCACAGCAAGGUCUAUAGGCGGCAGCCAUACAGUUCUUGCUCCUCCUGUACUAUGAGCACCUUUAUAUGGAGCCAUGGCAAGCACUGAGGUUCUCUUUAUUACUCUCUUAGUGUUAUGGUCUCCUAGGAUAGGGGUAUUCCCCCAUCUUCUUCCCAGGCACUGGAAAAAUGGACUACAGUCUACCCUUACCUUCAUGAGACCAUUCCAACAAGUUUCCUUUCAAAAAUCUACAGCCCAAAAAGCAGGCACCAAUUUCUAUGUUUACACGCUCACCUCCUCUCCCCUGGGGGAUGUAUGUAAAGCUCUUCUAAAAAUUCUCUCUCCACGCCCUACAGUGCUCCUAAGGCAGCAGAGGGCCCUGCAUUCAGCAAUCAGCCAGUGGGAGAGAGAAAUAUCAGUCUCCCCUUCCUGUCAACAACCCCAAACCUUGUUUUAACCUGGGGGGAACAGAGGAAGAACCACACUUCUCCACAGGGCAGGAACAAAUUGCCCUCUCCUUAGAAUACUGCACUCCUCCUGGGGCUGUUGCCUCUUGACCUCUCUUCCUAUCCUCACCAUCCCAUAUUCUUUCAGGUUGUGGAGGUAGAGCAGGUGGUAGUUGAUCAUAGAAAGGUUUUUCUUUCAACAAUUCAAAAGUCCUUUGAAGGAAUGUACCUGGCCCUAGUAUUGCUCUUAGAAUGUAAGGUAUCCAGUGCUUCUUUAUUUCUCAACUUUGAGCCUCAAUGUUCAUGCCCGCCUGUGGGCUCCAAAUGUAGGGUGACUCACUUGUAACCACAUUGCAUAAUUCGGCUGUGUCGGGGCUGGAUACCGUCCUAAUACAUUCGUUCCAUACACUACUGUGAGGCAAGUGAGGGCAGUAUGUGCUUUCGGUAGGUGGGCUCUACUGUGAGGUGUCCCCCAAGGACCUGGAAAUGAGAUCAUCUGCUGAGGAAUAAGCUGUAAAAAAUUGACAUAUAUUGGAGUAGAGAUAGAAAAAUUCACUUUCAAGAAACCAAAUGUCACUCAGGCAGUUAAGACUAGACUUUACCCUGAUUGAUUGUACUGAUUGAUUGUGACUUGUUUAGAGAAGUCACAGCUGGAAGUGGAGAUGGUUAGCCAUGGACUCUGAAAAAAGGGGAGUCACAGAUACAAACGCAAACAGUGUCCAACUAAGGACAGUCCACAGAAGAAGAGAGCGUAGCAGUGGAUUUCAAGUGUUCUAGUCUUACUAGCAAAGCCAGUCUUAAAGUGGCAUGAGUAAAGGCAAUCAGCAGCUUUAUGACCUUGGCAUAUCUCCACUCCGACUGGGAAGACUAUCUUAUUGAGAAAUGGAUAUGUUAUGUCAUCUUAACCCGAUAGCUUGAAAGAGCCGUGUUUCUAACUUUCCUCCCAAUUCCAUCUUUACCAAUCAGUGUUCCGAGGAUGACUUGGUUUCCCGUGUAGGUUAACCUGGAGGGUGAGUCACGUAGACUUUGAGGGUUGUGGCCCCUCUUGUACUACAAAUAGUAAACUGACAUUCUGAUCUUAUACAUCAUAAACUUGGUUAAUGUAGCGCACCCCUCAGAGAUGGACUGUUCUUAGCAAGCUGAUACAAGAAGUCUGCUGAGCCCACGAGCCAAGCAUCAGAACUGUUCUGUGAUAAGACUCCUCAGGGCAAUAGGUGCUAUCCUCUAAGGCCUCUCAGGAGAAGAAAACUACCCUCUCUUAUUUGACAUCUACCACCCCACCCCAGUCCACCUUAUCUUUGAGCACAACUGUGUUUUUAUAGAGAGAAACAGUGGAAGGAACAUGGGCUAUAACAUCAGAAGACCUGGGUUUGAAUCUCAGUUUUGCUUCUUUGUGAUUGACUAACUUGGAACAAGUUACUUAACCUCUCUGAGUCUCAGUGUCCUCAUUUUAAAUUGGGGUUUACCCAGUGGGGUUGACUGGAGGGAAAAGGUAUAUAAGACACUUAGAAUCUCUGGAAAAUGGUAGAUAGUAAACUCUCAUUACAAGUGUUGACAAAUGAGUAGUAGAUUACUCUCAGGGUCACAGUGGGGGAAGGAUAUUCCAUUGAACUCAUUCCUUUCCCUCCCAAUGUACAGAGAAAAUGUUGCAGCCUGCUCCAUCAACAGUCUUUUUACCUGAAAAACCCAGCACAAGGGAGAUUUCACUGCUAUUUACCGGAUCUUCGACUUAUUUAUUACUCUUGAUUAAAGUUGCAGUUCCCACAUCGUACAGUUAAUGGAUCCCUUUCCCUGAAAUGACUACUCCUUCCCUUUGUCUUCUUCCUGCCCCUUGGUCCACAACCCACAUAACUCCUUCAAAACUCAGCUCAGACACAUGGGCCUUUUGUUUCCUGUUCUUAAAACAGGCAAGCCUUUGGCCCUCCUCGUCCCACCCCUUGCAUUGUUCUGCCUCCAGAGCUUCAUAGACUGGCUCCUUCUCAUCCUUCAACUGUCACUAUUUCAGAGGGAUCCUUCCUAACCACCUCGUGCAUGUAUCCACCCCAUAGUCAUUUUCAUUACUCUGCAUUAUUUUCUUCAUAGUAUUAUCACUGUCUGAAGAUACUGCAACUUACUAUUUUUCUUACAUAAUGUUUCGUUUUCCUCCACUAAGCUUGACUGGAUCAGAAAUUGUGUUUGUGUACCACAUAGAACCCCUGAGCCUAGGACAGCACCUGGCACACAAUCAUGCUCAAUAAACGUUUCUGAAUGUGAUACAUGAAUGACUAUCGCCUGCUCUGGAAAGUCUUCCUAACCACCAGAAUGGAUUAGUCCUCCCUUGAACCUCCAUUGUCCUUUGGGCAUGCUUCUUGGUGUAGCACUGGAACUAUAUUGUAAUUGUUAAUUGUGCUAUUUAAAAAAUACCUUUCAGGGCUGGCCCUGUUGCCUAGUGGUUAAGUUCAGCACACUCCGCUUUGGCAGCCCAUGUUUGGUUCCCAGGUGAGGACCUAUCCCACUCAUUGGCGGCCAUGCUAUGGCAGUGACCUACAUACAAAGUAGAGGAAGAUUGGCACAGAUGUUAGCUCAGGGUGAAUCUUCCUCAGCAAAAAGAGAAAACCUUUCAUACAAUCCCGUUUACAAUUGUAACAAAAAGAACAAAAUAUCUAGGAACAAAUUUAACCAAGGAGGUGAAAGACCUAUAUAAUGAAAACUAUAAGACAUUAUUGAAAAAAAUCAAUGAUGACCUAAAGAAAUGGAAAGAUAUUCCAUGCACAUGGAUUGGAAGAAUAAAUAUAGUUAAAAUGUCCAUAUUACCUUAAGCAAUCUACAGAUUCAGUGCAAUCCCAGUCAGAAUCCCAAUGACAUUCUUCAUGGAAAUAGAACAAA
This is a long non-coding RNA of Equus caballus (horse), 9390 nucleotides long. Lineage: Eukaryota; Metazoa; Chordata; Mammalia; Perissodactyla; Equidae. The record is from Ensembl.